GUUCCAAACCAUAUUUGAGAGGCUAGUAAAUAGAAAAUAAAGUCGAAGGCGUUUCCAAUGAUGAACUUCAGAAAGAAUCGGAGCAUCCUAGGAAGAAUAGAAGAUCUACGUGACCCAAUUUUCCUGUGAUUUGUUGAUUCACAUCGAUAAAACCAGUUGUGUGCCACAUACAUGGCACGAAUCCCGAGCUUCCUCUUACCGAUAGGC
This 207-nucleotide long non-coding RNA is filed under the name Olea europaea (common olive). RNAcentral describes it as "long non-coding RNA (OEUR_LNC014975)". Lineage: Eukaryota; Viridiplantae; Streptophyta; Magnoliopsida; Lamiales; Oleaceae. The record is from RNAcentral.